CCAUUCAUAUAUGUCACUAAUUAGAUGACGAGGCAUUUGACUAUUUACCAUUAGGAGAGUCAUAGUUACUCCUAUCGUUUACCCGCGCUUCAUUGAAUUUCUUCACUUUGACAUUCAGAGACUAGGCAGAAAUCACAUUGCAUCAACACCCACCACGGGCCUUUGUGAUGCUUUGUUUUAAUUAAGCAGUCAGAUUCCCCUGGUCCGCACCAGUUCUAA
Molecule: long non-coding RNA, 219 nt
Organism: Gopherus evgoodei (Goodes thornscrub tortoise)
Lineage: Eukaryota; Metazoa; Chordata; Testudines; Testudinidae
Exons: 2
Source: RefSeq, a predicted model, not a curated record